AGUUUGGCUGCUGAACUACCUCUCAUGUCCAUGCCUUUCUUGUACAUGCCUUCAUUCUCUACGGAUGAUAGUAGAACAGAUGUUAAUAGACAUAUUGGUUCAAGCAUAAUGCAAGUGGAAUCAUCUGGUUCAAGGGAUUUGCAGACAGUUGCAAAUGCAGCAGAGAAGUAUGACACUUUAGUGUCUCCCAUGGAGACAUUCCCUGCAGUUGCUUCCAGUUCAUAUCCCAUUACAGAAGGUGCAGUUAGUAAUUCUUUUCCUACUGCAAUGGGAAGUUGCGUUGCUGACUCCACUGUAGAUCCCAUGAAGACCGAUGGAAUGCAGCCCUUAGAGGGGAACUUGCAAGGAAACUAUACUGACCCAGAAACUUCUGGUGGUGGUAAUAGUGCAGUGGACGGAGCAUGUGGAAAUAUUUUAGUUGGGCAGCAUUCCACAGAGGUUGGACAACUUCACCGGUGCCUGCCCUCUACAGAACCAACUUGGUGGGAGCUACACUUUUUGCAAGGAUGGUUAAUGGGUCAAAGCCAAGCUGGUGUUCCAUCA
RNAcentral lists this unclassified non-coding RNA (543 nucleotides) under Hevea brasiliensis (rubber tree). Lineage: Eukaryota; Viridiplantae; Streptophyta; Magnoliopsida; Malpighiales; Euphorbiaceae. The record is from RNAcentral.